This 492-nucleotide ribosomal RNA is filed under the name uncultured bacterium. Its description in RNAcentral is "partial 16S ribosomal RNA". It matches the Rfam family "Bacterial small subunit ribosomal RNA", at positions 29 to 507 of the family's 1533-position model. The record is from RNAcentral.
AGUGAACGCUGGCGGUAUGCCUAACACAUGCAAGUCGAACGGCAGCACAGUAAGAUCUUGCUCUUACGGGUGGCGAGUGGCGGACGGGUGAGGCAUACAUCGGAAUCUACUUUUUCGUGGGGGAUAACGUAGGGACACUGACGCUAAUACCGCAUACGUCCUACGGCUGAAUGCAGUGGAGCUUGGCACCUUUCGCGAUUCAAUUAGCCGAUGUCGGAUUAGCUAGUUGGCGGGGUAAAGGCCCACCAAGGCGACGAUCCGUAGCUGGUCUGAGAGGAUGAUCGGCCACACUGGAACUGAGACACGGUCCAGACUCCUACGGGAGGCAGCAGUGGGGAAUAUUGGACAAUGGGCGCAAGCCUGAUCCAGCCAUACCGCGUGAGUGAAGAAGGCCUUCGGGUUGUAAAGCCCUUUUGUUGGGAAAGAAAAGCAGCAGGUUAAAACACCGCUGUUCUGACGGUACCCAAAGAAUAAGCACCGGCUAACUUCGUG